This is a long non-coding RNA of Hydra vulgaris (swiftwater hydra), 583 nucleotides long. RefSeq lists it as uncharacterized. The record is from RefSeq and is a predicted model, not a curated record. NCBI's taxonomy places the organism in Eukaryota, Metazoa, Cnidaria, Hydrozoa, Anthoathecata, Hydridae.
GUGUUUUUAUUUCAGCAAACUAUAUAUUAGCCAACGUAUAUACCAAUGGUAGGAAAGUUGAUAAAUUAUUUUAUUUUAGCUAGACAUAUGACAUAUUUCACAAAUAGAUUGAAAAAUGGAACAAGGUUACCCAAGAAACUUUAAUGAACCACCUCCUUAUUACCAAGCCGCAACGUUUCCUGUGCAACAACAACCAGAUAUUAGAUUUACACCUCAAUAUCAAAGCAGCAAUCAAUCUCAGCAAUUUUAUCCUUCACCUCCUCUAAUUGGAAACGUACCAUGCGGAAAUUCUUAUCAUGCAACUACAAAUCAACUACCGGCAGCAGUAAAUAUAAGACAACUUCCAAGUAAUUAUAAUACAGCUGCUUGGUUAUCUUGUUUUUUCUGUUGUUGUCCUCUCGGUCUUAUGUCGAUCAUUAAAUCUAAUGAGGUCAAUAACGCUCUUUUGUUAGGAGACAUUACAAGAGCGCAACUUGCUUCUCAAUCUGCCAAACAAUAUGCCGCGGCGGCUGUGAUUUGUGGAAUCAAUAUCAUCAUUAUAUCUGUAGUUUUAAUUUUUGAAUAUUUGUCUUAGUUGUAAAAA